CUGCACGUACGCAACCUCCACGUUGACGUGGUAGUCGAACCCCAUGUUUUUUAUACUGCGCGGCGCCACAGAAGAAGAAAAAAGAAAGUUUGGUGCUUC
Molecule: non-coding RNA, 99 nt
Filed under: Chloropicon mariensis
Lineage: Eukaryota; Viridiplantae; Chlorophyta; Chloropicophyceae; Chloropicales; Chloropicaceae
Source: RNAcentral